Molecule: non-coding RNA, 113 nt
Organism: Acanthosepion pharaonis
Lineage: Eukaryota; Metazoa; Mollusca; Cephalopoda; Sepiida; Sepiidae
Source: the annotation of a GenBank genome assembly
UUACGGCCAUAUCUCGAUGAAACCCUGGUUUUUGUACGAUCACCAAAGUUAAGCAACGUCGAGCCUGGACAGUACCUAGAUGGGUGACCACUUGGGAAUACCAGGUGCUGUAA